RNAcentral lists this ribosomal RNA (484 nucleotides) under uncultured bacterium. RNAcentral describes it as "partial 16S ribosomal RNA". It matches the Rfam family "Bacterial small subunit ribosomal RNA", at positions 28 to 523 of the family's 1533-position model. The record is from RNAcentral.
GACGAACGCUGGCGGCGUGCUUAACACAUGCAAGUCGAACGAUGAACCCGGAGCUUGCUCCGGCGGAUUAGUGGCGAACGGGUGAGUAACACGUGAGUAACCUGCCCUUGACUCUGGGAUAACUGCUAGAAAUGGUAGCUAAUACCGGAUACGACCCUCGGUGGCAUCACCAGGGGGUGGAAAGAAUUUCGGUCAAGGAUGGACUCGCGGCCUAUCAGCUAGUGGGUGAGGUAACGGCUCACCAAGGCGACGACGGGUAGCCGGCCUGAGAGGGUGACCGGCCACACUGGGACUGAGACACGGCCCAGACUCCUACGGGAGGCAGCAGUGGGGAAUAUUGCACAAUGGGCGCAAGCCUGAUGCAGCAACGCCGCGUGAGGGAUGACGGCCUUCGGGUUGUAAACCUCUUUUAGUAGGGAAGAAGCGAAAGUGACGGUACCUGCGGAAAAAGCACCGGCUAACUACGUGCCAGCCGCCGCAGUAA